UACGUAGGGUGCAAGCGUUAAUCGGAAUUACUGGGCGCAAAGCGUGCGCAGGCGGUGGUAUAAGACAGAUGUGAAAGCCCCAGGCUCAACCUGGGAACUGCAUUUGUGACUGCAUCGCUGGAGUGCGGCAGAGGGGGAUGGAAUUCCGCGUGUAGCAGUGAAAUGCGUAGAUAUGCGGAGGAACACCGAUGGCGAAGGCAAUCCCCUGGGCCUGCACUGACGCUCAUGCACGAAAGCGUGGGGAGCAAACAGG
RNAcentral lists this unclassified non-coding RNA (253 nucleotides) under uncultured Gammaproteobacteria bacterium. RNAcentral's name for it is "contains 16S-23S intergenic spacer region". It matches the Rfam family "Bacterial small subunit ribosomal RNA", at positions 524 to 776 of the family's 1533-position model. Lineage: Bacteria; Pseudomonadati; Pseudomonadota; Gammaproteobacteria. The record is from RNAcentral.